Molecule: unclassified non-coding RNA, 203 nt
Filed under: fungal sp.
Lineage: Eukaryota; Fungi
Description: partial internal transcribed spacer region
Rfam family: Eukaryotic small subunit ribosomal RNA (bases 1-46)
Source: RNAcentral
AAGUCGUAACAAGGUUUCCGUAGGUGAACCUGCGGAAGGAUCAUUAACAGUUUAUGUUUGUGUCUGUUGUUGUGAUGUGUGUGAUCUGUGACAAUUGCCAUUUGGUUGGCAAUGUUAUUUUUUUUAACCGUUUUUUAUUACCUGUCUUAUACCAUACCAUAUACAAUUAUCGAAAACUGCCAGCAAUGGAUCACUCGGUUCUU